RNAcentral lists this transfer RNA (76 nucleotides) under Pantoea sp. Sc1. RNAcentral's name for it is "tRNA-Lys". The stretch from base 20 to 76 matches the Rfam family "tRNA", at positions 1 to 55 of the family's 71-position model. Rfam says of the family: Transfer RNA (tRNA) molecules are approximately 80 nucleotides in length. Their secondary structure includes four short double-helical elements and three loops (D, anti-codon, and T loops). Lineage: Bacteria; Pseudomonadati; Pseudomonadota; Gammaproteobacteria; Enterobacterales; Erwiniaceae. The record is from RNAcentral.
GUCUGGCAAGCCUGAAGAUGGGUCGUUAGCUCAGUUGGUAGAGCAGUUGACUUUUAAUCAAUUGGUCGCAGGUUCG